Molecule: small RNA, 131 nt
Filed under: Desulforamulus ruminis
Lineage: Bacteria; Bacillati; Bacillota; Clostridia; Eubacteriales; Peptococcaceae
Also listed under: 1 other name
Description: Desulfotomaculum ruminis c-di-AMP sequence
Rfam family: c-di-AMP riboswitch aptamer (ydaO/yuaA leader)
About the family: This family represents a conserved RNA structure found upstream of the ydaO and yuaA genes in Bacillus subtilis and related genes in other bacteria. The ydaO/yuaA element is thought to act as a genetic "off" switch for the ydaO and yuaA genes in its native state.
Source: RNAcentral
UGGAAAAAUAUGCUUAAUUCCGUGAUCGGAAGCGGAGGAACCAAUUCCGGGGUGAAUCCUAUGUUAAUAGGUAGGGUUUCCUUUCGACCCGAACCCGUCAGCUAACUUCGUAAGCAUGAAGGAAAGGAUGG